Chlorocebus sabaeus (green monkey) is the source of this 101-nucleotide microRNA precursor. The record is from Ensembl. NCBI's taxonomy places the organism in Eukaryota, Metazoa, Chordata, Mammalia, Primates, Cercopithecidae.
AUAUAAAUUAGUUGGGGAUCUUGUUAAAAUGCAGAUUCUGAUUCAGCAGGGGCCUGAGGUCCUGCAUUUCUAACAACCUCCAAAGUGAUGCUGAAGCUGCU